Molecule: ribosomal RNA, 492 nt
Filed under: uncultured bacterium
Lineage: Bacteria
Description: partial 16S ribosomal RNA
Rfam family: Bacterial small subunit ribosomal RNA
Source: RNAcentral
AGUGAACGCUGGCGGUAGGCCUAACACAUGCAAGUCGAGCGGCAGCACAGUAAGAGCUUGCUCUUACGGGUGGCGAGUGGCGGACGGGUGAGGAAUACAUCGGAAUCUACUUUUUCGUGGGGGAUAACGUAGGGAAACUUACGCUAAUACCGCAUACGACCUACGGGUGAAAGCAGGGGAUCUUCGGACCUUGCGCGAUUGAAUGAGCCGAUGUCGGAUUAGCUAGUUGGCGGGGUAAAGGCCCACCAAGGCGACGAUCCGUAGCUGGUCUGAGAGGAUGAUCAGCCACACUGGAAAUGAGACACGGUCCAGACUCCUACGGGAGGCAGCAGUGGGGAAUAUUGGACAAUGGGCGCAAGCCUGAUCCAGCCAUACCGCGUGGGUGAAGAAGGCCUUCGGGUUGUAAAGCCCUUUUGUUGGGAAAGAAAAGCAGCAGGUUAAUACCCCGCUGUUCUGACGGUACCCAAAGAAUAAGCACCGGCUAACUUCGUG